This 912-nucleotide transfer RNA is filed under the name Lonchura striata (white-rumped munia). RNAcentral's name for it is "domestica (Bengalese finch) lncRNA (ENSLSDG00000015862.1)". The record is from RNAcentral. Lineage: Eukaryota; Metazoa; Chordata; Aves; Passeriformes; Estrildidae.
AUGAUGGAGAAGAAAUUGAUGAUGGAGGGGAAAGAGAUGGAGAAGAAACAGAUGAUGGAGAAGAAAUGGAUGAUGGAGAAAUGGAUGAUGGAGGAGAAAGAGAUGAUGGAGAAGAAAUUGAUGAUGGAGGAGAAAUUGUUGACGGAAGAGAAAUUGAUGGAGAAGAAACAGAUGAUGGAGGGGAUAGAGAUGAUGGAGGAGAAACUGAUGAUGGAGAAAUGGAUGAUGGAGAAAUGGAUGAUGGAGGGGAAAUGGAUGAUGGAGGAGAAAUGGAUGAUGGAGGAGAAAUGGAUGAUGGAGGAGAGAUGGAUGAUGGAGGAGAAAUUGAUGAUGGAGAAAUGGAAGAUGGAGGAGAAAUGCUUCAAGAAGGGAGCAGGGGAUGUCCCAAAAAGUGGUCCCAUCCCCUUGGGGUCGUUACGAACCUUGCAGAGGGGGGUCCUGGGAGGAAAAUGGCACGAAAAGAAAAGAGACACCUGCCUGGAGAUCAUCUCUGCCGGGACUCGAACCCGGAACCUCUGGAUUAGAAGUCCAGCGCGCUCGUCCAUUGCGCCACAGAGACCUCACCGUGAGGGGAGCGGCGGCGGCUCCGGAACUGAGGAAUCCCCACCUCCGGAGCCCCCUCCCGCUCCCAGGCGGGCUGGAAUUAUCCCAGGGAUGAUCCAUUUCUGGCCCGAUGCAGCAAGAAGCCGCCGGUACCCGCCUCCCCAGCAACGGUUUCCGCAGCAUCCCCGAGCACAGCGAAAUCCCGGAGCAGAAUCCGUCGCUGCGUCUCCCUCUCAGCAUCCGCACGAGGCAAGGGAUAAAGGUGGGAAGAGGAUUUAGAGGAAAAAAAAGGGAGGAAAAAAAAAAAAAAGCACCCAGGAGCUGAGGUUUGAGCGUGGGUUUCCUUUCAGCGAGACGUCAGGCACGGGG